RNAcentral lists this ribosomal RNA (458 nucleotides) under uncultured bacterium. RNAcentral's name for it is "partial 16S ribosomal RNA". It matches the Rfam family "Bacterial small subunit ribosomal RNA", at positions 355 to 796 of the family's 1533-position model. The record is from RNAcentral.
UGGGGAAUUUUGGACAAUGGGGGAAACCCUGAUCCAGCCAUCCCGCGUGUGCGAUGAAGGCCUUCGGGUUGUAAAGCACUUUUGGCAGGAAAGAAACGUCGCGGGUUAAUACCCCGCGAAACUGACGGUACCUGCAGAAUAAGCACCGGCUAACUACGUGCCAGCAGCCGCGGUAAUACGUAGGGUGCAAGCGUUAAAUCGGAAUUACUGGGCGUAAAGCGUGCGCAGGCGGUUCGGAAAAGAAAAGAUGUGAAAUCCCAGAGCUUAACUUUGGAAACUGCAUUUUUAAACUACCGGGCUAGAGUGUGUCAGAGGGAGGUGGAAUUCCGCGUGUAGCAGUGAAAAUGCGUAGAUAUGCGGAGGAACACCGAUGGCGAAGGCAGCCUCCUGGGAUAAACACUGACGCUCAUGCACGAAAAGCGUGGGGAGCAAAACAGGAUUAGAUACCCUGGUAGUCC